CCCCCCCCCCCCCCGCAUGACAUCUUGACCAUUUCUAUUCCAAUGUAUCUCAGAGAACUAAUAGGAUGUCCAGCUUGUACAAAAUGAGCAGCAACCGGAUGUUUUUGUCUCUCCUGUCCGUAUAUUGCUGCGGUGCUCACUGAUCCGUGUCUUAAGGCUUCUACAGGGUUUUCCCUAUGUAAGAUUUCAUUUAUGCAGAAGUCCAGGUAAUUCCAAAGGGUUCACAUACGUUUUCUUGCCACUUUAGCUAGCCAGCGUAAUGACUUAGCCAUCAUCUAACACAAUGUACACUUAAUGUCUUCAAAUAGAAAAGGUUAAAGACACGCCCUGAAAGGCAGAGUGAUGUAUGACGUGGAUGUACAGAACGCCAUCCCGGUUAAAACUAGACUUUUCCGUACGACUACUGUAAAGCAUGGGAGGAGACUGUUAUACCCAUCUCUGUGGGAGUUGACUUGCCACUGGAAGUUUGCGAAAAGUGUUGAACUGUUCUUCAAACUCUUCUUAGCGGUUAAGAGCGUUGGGCCAGUAACCGAAAGGUAGCUGGUUUGAAUCCUCGAGCCGACUAAGUGAAAAAUCUGCAGAUGUGCCCUUGAGCAAGGCACUUAAGACUCAUUGUUUCUGUAAGUCGCUCUGGAUAAGAGUGUCGGCUAAAUGAGACCAUCUGCUAAUUCCAUUGAAGAUGUAUAGAGAUCGUAACGUUAUAUCUGUGCCAUUAUGGCACCUUCUGAAAGCACGGGCAGCUUUCACAGCUUUCUAAUAUAUACAUUUAAACAUUAUUUUAAAACGAUUUAAAUAUAAUACGUAGAAAUGUUGUGGGACUAUAGUAGAGGAAGAAUCCAUAUUUUUUUUUUAGAUUUGAGUAUUUAUUUGGUCAUUAUGUUAGUAUAUUGUGUAUGUUUGUAAUAGUGUGUUAUAUGUGGAAAUGUGUUCGUAUUAUAAAUUGUAUUUUAAUGUUUUAAGGACUCUUGGAAGAUUAGUCCAAAUGGGGACUAAUCCAAAUAAAAUCUCCAUUUUAAAGUAGUUGUUAAUAUUGAUGGCUGCGAUGGAGUCUUAAACCACAUUGUUUCUUUCUAUGGCUGUCAUAUAGCUUAAAUUCAUUUACAACUUGACAAAUCAGUUUGAAGCACAAGACAAUGCUCCGCUCAUUGACUGAUCGAUCCCAACCCAUAGGAAUCCCCCACCCCAGUGGACUACUUUAAAAUGGUCGAAGCCCUGAAUGGCAAUGGACGGGCAAAAGCUGGUUAUUUCCAUGUAAUGAUCUUCAUGGAACAGGGAAGCACGUCACUCCCUUUUCCGGUUGUUGCCCUGGCGCCAUCAUCCCCACCGGACACAAAACAGUAGCAAUCUAGCGAGAGGUUGUUUUUAAUGAGUGCAAUUUUCAAGUGGUUUGUUUGCAUUAUCUGCCUUCACUAAAGUAGAGCAGUACUAGGAGAACCCUAGAGAGUAAACAGGAGAGUAGAGAGGUACUAGGAAAACCCUAGAGAGUAAACAGGAGAGUAGAGAGGUACUAGGAGAACCCUAGAGAGUAAACAGGAGAGUAGAGAGGUACUAGGAGAACCCUAGAGAGUAAACAGGAGAGCAGAGAGGUACUAGGAGAACCCUAGAGAGUAAACAGGAGAGUAGAGAGGUACUAGGAGAACCCUAGAGAGUAAACAGGAGAGUAGAGAGGUACUAGGAGAACCCUAGAGAGUAAACAGGAGAGCAGAGAGGUACUAGGAGAACCCUAGAGAGUAAACAGGAGAGCAGAGAGGUACUAGGAGAACCCUAGAGAGUAAACAGGAGAGUAGAGAGGUACUAGGAGAACCCUAGAGAGUAAACAAGAGAGUAGAGAGGUACUAGGAGAACCCUAGAGAGUAAACAGGAGAGUAGAGAGGUACUAGGAUAACCCUAGAGAGUAAACAGGAGAGCAGAGAGGUACUAGGAGAACCCUAGAGAGUAAACAGGAGAGUAGAGAGGUACUAGGAGAACCCUAGAGAGUAAACAGGAGAGUAGAGAGGUACUAGGAGAACCCUAGAGAGUAAACAGGAGAGCAGAGAGGUACUAGGAGAACCCUAGAGAGUAAACAGGAGAGUAGAGAGGUACUAGGAGAACCCUAGAGAGUAAACAGGAGAGCAGAGAGGUACUAGGAGAACCCUAGAGAGUAAACAGGAGAGCAGAGAGGUACUAGGAGAACCCUAGAGAGUAAACAGGAGAGCAGAGAGGUACUAGGAGAACCCUAGAGAGUAAACAGGAGAGUAGAGAGGUACUAGGAGAACCCUAGAGAGUAAACAAGAGAGUAGAGAGGUACUAGGAGAACCCUAGAGAGUAAACAGGAGAGUAGAGAGGUACUAGGAGAACCCUAGAGAGUAAACAGGAGAGUAGAGAGGUACUAGGAGAACCCUAGAGAGUAAACAGGAGAGUAGAGGUACUAGGAGAACCCUAGAGAGUAAACAGGAGAGUAGAGGUACUAGGAGAACCCUAGAGAGUAAACAGGAGAGUAGAGAGGUACUAGGAGAACCCUAGAGAGUAAACAGGAGAGUAGAGAGGUACUAGGAGAACCCUAGAGAGUAAACAGGAGAGUAGAGAGGUACUAGGAGAACCCUAGAGAGUAAACAGGAGAGUAGAGGUACUAGGAGAACCCUAGAGAGUAAACAGGAGAGUAGAGAGGGACUAGGAGAACCCUAGAGAGUAAACAGGAGUGUAGAGAGGUCCUAGGAGAACCCUAGAGAGUAAACAGGAGAGUAGAGGUACUAGGAGAACCCUAGAGAGUAAACAGGAGAGUAGAGGUACUAGGAGAACCCUAGAGAGUAAACAGGAGAGUAGAGAGGUACUAGGAGAACCCUAGAGAGUAAACAGGAGAGUAGAGGUACUAGGAGAACCCUAGAGAGUAAACAGGAGAGUAGAGGUACUAGGAGAACCCUAGAGAGUAAACAGGAGAGUAGAGAGGUACUAGGAGAACCCUAGAGAGUAAACAGGAGAGUAGAGAGGUACUAGGAGAACCCUAGAGAGUAAACAGGAGAGUAGAGAGGUACUAGGAGAACCCUAGAGAGUAAACAGGAGAGUAGAGGUACUAGGAGAACCCUAGAGAGUAAACAGGAGAGUAGAGAGGGACUAGGAGAACCCUAGAGAGUAAACAGGAGUGUAGAGAGGUCCUAGGAGAACCCUAGAGAGUAAACAGGAGAGUAGAGGUACUAGGAGAACCCUAGAGAGUAAACAGGAGAGUAGAGAGGUACUAGGAGAACCCUAGAGAGUAAACAGGAGAGUAGAGAGGUACUAGGAGAACCCUAGAGAGUAAACAGGAGAGUAGAGGUAUUAGGAGAACCCUAGAGAGUAAACAGGAGAGUAGAGAGGUACUAGGAGAACCCUAGAGAGUAAACAGGAGAGUAGAGAGGUACUAGGAGAACCCUAGAGAGUAAACAGGAGAUUAGAGAGGUACUAGGAGAACCCUAGAGAGUAAACAGGAGAGUAGAGAGGUACUAUGAGAACCCUAGAGAAUAAACAGGAGAGUAGAGGUAUUAGGAGAACCCUAGAGAGUAAACAGGAGAGUAGAGAGGUACUAGGAGAACCCUAGAGAGUAAACAGGAGAGUAGAGGUACUAGGAGAACCCUAGAGAGUAAACAGGAGAGUAGAGGUACUAGGAGAACCCUAGAGAGUAAACAGGAGAGUAGAGGGGUACUAGGAGAACCCUAGAGAGUAAACAGGAGAGUAGAGGUACUAGGAGAACCCUAGAGAGUAAACAGGAGAGUAGAGGUACUAGGAGAACCCUAGAGAGUAAACAGGAGAGUUGAGCGGUACUACGAGAACCAUAGAGAGUAAACAGGAGUAGAGGUACUAGGAGAACCCUAGAGAGUAAACAGGAGAGUAGAGAUGUACUAGGAGAAGCCUAGAGAGUAAACAGGAGAGUAGAGAGGUACUAGCAGAACCCUAGAGAGUAAACAGCAGAGUAGAGCGGUACUAGGAGAACCCUAGAGAGUAAACAGGAGAGUAGAGGUACUAGGAUAACCCUGGAGAGUAAGCAGGAUAGUAGAGAGGUACUAGGAGAACCCUAGAGAGUAAACAGGAGAGUAGAGAGGUACUAGGAGAACCCUAGAGAGUAAACAGGAGAGUAGAGGUACUAGGAGAACCCUAGAGAGUAAACAGGAGAGUAGAGCGGUACUAGGAGAACCCUAGAGAGUAAACAGGAGAGUGGAGAGGUACUAGGAGAACCCUAGAGAGUAAACAGGAGAGUAGAGAGGCACUAGGAUAACCCUAGAGAGUAAACAGGAGAGUAGAGAGGUAUUAGGAUAACCCUAGAGAGUAAACAGGAGAGUAGAGAGGUAUUAGGAGAACCCUAGAGAGUAAACAAGAGAGUAGAGGUACUAGGAGAACCCUAGAGAGAAGAGGCAGAAUGGCACCCUAUUCCUAUUAAAUUGCAAUAUUUUUUACCAGUGUUUUUUGUUAAAAGUAGGGCACUGUAAAGGGAUUAGGGUGUCUUUUAGCAAGCAGAUUCAGUGUAAGCAAGCGGAGCCAGGAGUGAUUGAGUCUACUGCCACCAUCUCACCCUGAUGCACCUCCCACCCUACCCAUGCUGCCUCCCCAACCUGCUUCCCUCUCAUCCUCCCUCCUUCAGCAUCCUCCCAGCCUACCUUCCACUUUCCUUCCUCCCUACCUCUCCAGCUUACCCCUCUCCUCUCUCUAUGUCUCUCUCUCCCUCUAUGUCUCUCUCUAUGUCUCUCUCUCUCCACCCUGCCUCUGUGUUCUGACUGGCCACUUAAUCAAUGGUAAUGAGCGGCUCACACAUCUUCCUCUACAGGCCCUGUGUCAGGAGACAACCAGGACAUGUCCCUCUUUAAUUAGGCAGAACCAACAUAAUAGUACUGUUUGGGAGGAGGGGCAGAACCAACAUAAUGGUACUGUUCAGGAGGAGAGGUCACAGGGCUAUAGGAGGAGGAGGAGAGGUCACAGGGCUAUAGGAGGAGGAGGAGAGGUCACAGAGCUAUAGGAGAAGGAGAGGUCAC
Long non-coding RNA from Salvelinus fontinalis (brook trout), 4976 nucleotides. RefSeq lists it as uncharacterized. The transcript is spliced from 5 exons. NCBI's taxonomy places the organism in Eukaryota, Metazoa, Chordata, Actinopteri, Salmoniformes, Salmonidae. The record is from RefSeq and is a predicted model, not a curated record.